Molecule: transfer RNA, 73 nt
Filed under: Bos taurus (domestic cattle)
Lineage: Eukaryota; Metazoa; Chordata; Mammalia; Artiodactyla; Bovidae
Rfam family: tRNA
About the family: Transfer RNA (tRNA) molecules are approximately 80 nucleotides in length. Their secondary structure includes four short double-helical elements and three loops (D, anti-codon, and T loops).
Source: Rfam by way of RNAcentral
UCCCUAGUGGUCCAGUGGUUAAGACUCUGCACUUCCAAUGUAGUGCCCAUAGGUUCGAUCCCUGGUUGGGAAA